UACGAAGGGAGCUAGCGUUGUUCGGAAUCACUGGGCGUAAAGCGCACGUAGGCGGAUGUGUCAGUCAGGGGUGAAAUCCCGGAGCUCAACUUCGGAACUGCCCUUGAUACAGCACGUCUUGAGUCCGGAAGAGGUGGGUGGAAUUCCUAGUGUAGAGGUGAAAUGCGCAGAUAUCGGGAAGAACACCCGUGGCGAAGGCGGCUCUCUGGGACGGUACUGACGCUGAGACGCGAAAGCGUGGGGAGCGAACAGG
Molecule: ribosomal RNA, 253 nt
Filed under: uncultured bacterium
Lineage: Bacteria
Description: partial 16S ribosomal RNA
Rfam family: Bacterial small subunit ribosomal RNA
Source: RNAcentral